This 253-nucleotide ribosomal RNA is filed under the name uncultured bacterium. Its description in RNAcentral is "partial 16S ribosomal RNA". It matches the Rfam family "Bacterial small subunit ribosomal RNA", at positions 524 to 776 of the family's 1533-position model. The record is from RNAcentral.
UACGUAGGGAGCAAGCGUUGUCCGGAAUCAUUGGGCGUAAAGCGCGUGUAGGCGGCCCGAUAAGUCCGCUGUGAAAGUCCAGGGCUCAACCCUGGGAUGCCGGUGGAUACUGUCGGGCUCGAGUCCGGAAGAGGCGAGUGGAAUUCCUGGUGUAGCGGUGAAAUGCGCAGAUAUCAGGAGGAACACCAAUGGCGAAGGCAGCUCGCUGGGACGUGACUGACGCUGAGACGCGAAAGCCAGGGGAGCGAACGGG